Molecule: ribosomal RNA, 870 nt
Filed under: uncultured Bacteroidota bacterium
Lineage: Bacteria; Pseudomonadati; Bacteroidota
Description: bacterial SSU rRNA
Rfam family: Bacterial small subunit ribosomal RNA
Source: RNAcentral
GCCUACACAUGCAGUCGAGGGGUAACGUAAGUGCUUGCACUUGACGACGACCGGCGCACGGGUGCGGAACGCGUAUGGAACCUACCUUUAUCAGGGGGAUAGCCCAUGGAAACGUGGAUUAAUACCCCAUAGUAUUAAAUCAUUGCAUGAUGAUUUAAUUAAAGAAUUUCGGAUAGAGAUGGCCAUGCGUAUCAUUAGCUAGUAGGCGAGGUAACGGCUCACCUAGGCGACGAUGAUUAGGGGUCCUGAGAGGGAGAUCCCCCACACUGGUACUGAGACACGGACCAGACUCCUACGGGAGGCAGCAGUGAGGAAUAUUGGGCAAUGGAGGCAACUCUGACCCAGCCAUGCCGCGUGCAGGAAGACGGCCCUAUGGGUUGUAAACUGCUUUUAUACAGGAAGAACACCACCCACGUGUGGGUGACUGACGGUACUGUAAGAAUAAGGACCGGCUAACUCCGUGCCAGCAGCCGCGGUAAUACGGAGGGUCCAAGCGUUAUCCGGAAUCAUUGGGUUUAAAGGGUCCGUAGGCGGGCUAAUAAGUCAGAGGUGAAAGUUUGCAGCUCAACUGUAAAAUUGCCUUUGAUACUGUUAGUCUUGAGUUAUAGUGAAGUGGUUAGAAUAAGUGGUGUAGCGGUGAAAUGCAUAGAUAUCACUUAGAAUACCGAUUGCGAAGGCAGAUCACUAACUGUAUACUGACGCUGAGGGACGAAAGCAUGGGUAGCGAACGGGAUUAGAUACCCCGGUAGUCCAUGCUGUAAACGAUGGAUACUAGCUGUUGGCUUCGGUCAGUGGCUAAGCGAAAGUGAUAAGUAUCCCACCUGGGGAGUACGUUCGCAAGAAUGAAACUCAAAGGAAUUGACGGGGACC